RNAcentral lists this long non-coding RNA (8396 nucleotides) under Homo sapiens (human). Its description in RNAcentral is "non-protein coding CARMN:5". Lineage: Eukaryota; Metazoa; Chordata; Mammalia; Primates; Hominidae. The record is from RNAcentral.
UGUGGCCAGGGAGCCGCAGGCAAGGGACUAAGGGGAGGGGGGCUCAGUGCCAGCUGCUUAAAAAUGCCCCUGUGGCAGCGAGGGGCACCAGAGGCUGGGUCUAAUUAGUUGAGAAGCAGUGACACCCCCAACCACUCCCCAAACAGGCUGGCUCCCGUCUCCAGGCCCCAAGGAGCCACACCUGGACCAGACCCCAGGAAAGACAUGUGGUGGAAACCCUACGGCCCUGGAGCCCAAGGAGAGCAACGGCUGUAACAAGUGCACAGGUUUGAGUGCGCUGAGACAGGGGAACCGUGGGCAAAGAGGUCCCUCCAGAAAGAGCUGGGUGUGAGCAUGGGUUCGUGAGCUUGCCUGGAGCCCUGGCCUCAGCCCUCUCUCACUGAGGUGCCAUCUGGCUCGCAGAUGUGGCCCAUUCCCAGCCCCUCGUGUUUCUUGGAAAUGAGAAAGUCCAGGAAAGGGCACAGGGGCUUUCGCAACGACCGUGGCGAUGAUAGCUUUGACGUGUGGUCAUCCAGCCGGCCACUGCCCACACCCAAGAGAAAGCUGGAUUGAGCAUCAGGAGCCUGGGUUCAAGUCUGCCUCUCAAGCUGUUCCACAGGUGACCCUGGGCAAAUCGCACAGGCUCCUGGAACUUCAGAAAGGGGAAGAAUUAUUCCUGCCUCUGGCGACAUCAGCGAAUGUGCCUUGAGUUACGGGAGUGUUUUGAAGGCUGAAAGCUUUGUGUACACGGAAGGGGUCAAAGACAGCCACAAGCCUGUCCCUUUGGUCUUGGUCAUCAUGUUAACCCCAGGUUUCGAUUUAAUCCUACAUGCUCCUUUCUUAUGUGUGAGGCUGAGGUGGGGGCAUUGGUCAGAGGAGCCUCUGGGAAAUUUCCUUUCAGGACAGUUCUUUUGUUAAGGGGCCUGGGUGUGCUGAGAAGGGAAGGUGGCUCCUCCUGCUCUUGGAGCUUGGAGUUUCUCACAAGCUCUCCCUUAAAAGCCAGGCAGGCCAAGAAGGGAUAAUGGCUGCUCAGGGCCCAAGGGGCAGGAUCUCUGAGGCCCGGAAGAUCUCAGUAGGUUUAGCCCAAGAGUAUCCAGAAGUGGCCCAGGCCCAUUCUCCAUCCCUCAGAGCCUGGCAGCCUGGUCAGGACCCUCAAAGGCCAUGACCGUACCCGUAGGGCACCCUGGUGUCCUUCUGACAGGUGGGAUCUUUGUUUCUUACAGGCAAGGGCGCUAGCUGGUGGGAGCCACCCCGCCAUGCUGAUGUCAGAGAAGCAAGAACUCUGGAGAAGCAGCCUCCUGGGACCAGAGGAGGGCCAGCAGCAGGCAGCCCGGAGACAGAACUGUGAGCCCACCCCACCUCCACCCUUCCGGCACCCACAUCCGCUCCCCACCCCAGCCCACCUGCAGGUGGCUCCUGGAGUAUCCUGGGUCCCUCAGGAUAAACUCCCCACCCUAACCUCAGAAUGACCAAGAAACUGGGCCUGAGGAUGACAAGAAGCAGAAUGGGCCUUGGUAAAGGAAGACCCCCCACUGAUUGGUGGCAGUGCGGGCAGUUCAGGGCUGUCAGCGUCUGGGUUGUAGGUAAAAAGAAAUGGAACCCAAGAAGGGAAAUCCAACUAGGAGCCAAGAAUCCGGUCUACCCCAUCCUCCUUACGAAAUAGCAAUGCAAAGCCCGUGUGAUUUGGACAUAAAGCCUCUGUUACUCAACUUGAUUCGGUGAAUAACAGACUUGAAAGAAAUGUGGAAAAUAAUAGUAAUCUUCCCUAGAAAGGAGUAAACAGGGUUGAGCUCCCAAAGCAGGAAGACCUGGGGCUGUGUGAUCUUGGACGAGUCACUCAACCUCUCUGAGCCUAGUGAUAAAGAGCCAGCUCAUAGGGCUUUGAGAGGAUUUGUGAGGUUGGGCUGGUGUCCCCAGGCACAGCCCUUGGCACAUAGUGAAACUCAAGAAAACAGAGCAGUUUUUACCAUUCAUCACAUUAUUCCCACACUUGCCAAUUUUUUAAGUUCAUGCACAUGGUGGAACAGGUAGGGUGAGGUGCCAGCUCCAUAAGAUGAGUGGAGAAACUGAGGCCUGGAGAGGUGAAAGCAUUCACUCAGAGUUGCAUGUAGAGUCAGUUGCAAAGGAGAAUUCUGGCACCAGUUCUCAUGUGGAUGGAAAAAGUGCAGGAAGAUUUGGAGGUGAGCAGAGGAGAAGGGAGGAGGAGGCCGGGUUCCAGGAAAGGAGCUGACAUCCAGGGAUGUGGGACAAGGCCCAGGCCUGUCUUACAUAACAUGGUCCACCUGUUCACCCCUGCAGGCCCCACAAAUGUGUGCAAACGUGCACCCCGGCACAGCGCACACCCAGUCCUCCCUCACUGGCAAAUAAGCCACAGAGACUGGGUUUAAACAAAUUGGAUUAGGAGGGCUACAGGCGCCUCCUCCCCCCGACUGUCCGGCUCCGACACUAAACAGACCUGCAGAACUGCCAGCUGUGGUCUCUCGGACACACUGACAGUCGGUCCUUGGCUCCCUCACCCCACCCGUGGGCCUCAGGAAGGGGGUUGGGGUCUGAGAGGAUGCCACAGUGAUGGAUGGGGUGAGGGAGGUUCCAGGGCUAGCUCAACAGCGCACAGGAUGUUAGUGCUUUUGCGAGGCACAUUUCCGAGCUGUUCCCAGACCCGCCCCCACUUCCCCCCUCACCCUCCCCUCCGGCAGCCUCUCCCAUGGCCACUGCUGCGGGCUGUGAGCAGAGCCCCGUCCUUGAGCAGAUUGACCUCAUCUUUCAGUCCUGCAGCUGGGCUGAGCGGGGAGUCAGCUCAGAAGACACUGGCCUGGGGAUGAGACUCGGGGCAUGCUUCAGAGGGAAGAAAGAGCUUCUGAACAGACAAUGCUGUCUUAAAGGUGGCAUCUUGGUGCUUUCUCAUGCCUUGUUUUCUUUCAUCCUCAGAAUGUGUCUGGGGGUGAGAGGACGGGUGUGACUGCUGAAACUUCCUUUCUUGGUGAUUCCACAUCACUCCUUUCUGAUCCCUGAGCCUGUGCCACGCCCUGUGUGAUGUGCCGGGGACACCAGGGUGAAUACUUACAGGCCCUGUUCCCCUUCCUUCAUGAAACAGCCUCCUUCGGGCUGGGUCACUGGGCACUGGGGCCUCCCUGGUCUUCCAGGAUUGCAACUUCACAGAAUCCCUUUUCCAUAAGGCACAUGAAAGUGACUGUGACCCGCAACGGGAGCCUUGACAACCAGCCAAUUCAGAACACAGACCUUGACAUCGGAAGGCCCCGAGUUCAAAUCCUGCCUUGCUCCCUUUCAGCUGGAAAGCUGUGGUCAAAUUACUUAGCCUCUCCAAGCCAGUUUUCCCUUCUGCAAAAUGAGGUUACACAAGCUGCCACCUCACAGAAUGAGUGUGAGAAUUAAUUCUUAUUUUCCACACCCUCAUUUGACAGGGGGAGAAACAGAAGCCCAGAGAGGGAAAGGGCUUGGUUAGGAUCACACCAUGAGUUGGGGGUUAAGUCAGGAUGGGGUAGGUCCCCUCUUUCUCUGGGUGUUCCUCUCCCCCAUCCCUUAUCUCAACAUAAAUCCUCCCCAGUUGCCCAGGUUGUCCAGGCGAUUCCUGGCACACGUCCUGGGGCCUGCCCUCCACCUUUAGCCCUGCUCUGGCUUCUGCAGCAGCAGAGUCCUGGGUGACCAGCAGUGGCCCCUGGCCCUCUGAGUGGUGGUGGAGGGUGGGGGUGCACUGCAGCAAGCUCCCAGCCCAGAGCAGCCUGGCCAUAUAAGGGAAGGAGCUCAGGGAGGCCUCCUGGCUCAGGCCUGGCGAGAAAACCCAGACAGCCACUGUUUAUUUUCUCCUCCCCAGCUCACCCACGCCUCUCCAAGCCUCCCAACAGAAGACAGAGGUCCCCCACAGCCAGAGACAUUUCCUGAAGACAUGGGGAACACAGAGGCAGAAACAGCCCAUCCACCCAGGAGCUGUCCCCCACACUGCCGGGAGCCGGCACCCAGAGCCGCCAGGUAAAACUGAGGCCACCUGGUUCAACAUCACCUUUCACAGAAGGGGAAGCAGCCACAGAAAGAAGGGCCUCGUUAAGAAGUGGAACCUGGGACCCCCAAGCGGUGUCUCUCAUCCUGACUGGGGAUCCAGAGUAGGAGGGAGCCUUUGGUGGGGUAAGUGGAAUGGGGCGGGGUGGGGGGUGGCCAUAGACCCCUCUUCUCAGUAAGGCCCUCAUGUGAAGGAGGCAGGGGUUGGGACAAGUGCUAAGUAUGCAAGACUCAAGGGAAGAGCUGCUGGAGCCAGGAGAAGCACCUCCCUCCCGGCCCCUCUGCCCCUCCUCAUAGCCCAGCUGCACUGACUCCUCCUCCAGGAAGCCUUCUCAGCUUCCCCAGGGGUGGGAACCUUUUUGUCCUCCAGGUGUGCUUGGCUGUCCUUUCUUGGGCUCUCUCUCUCUCUCUCUCCUCAUCCCACUUGAGUCUGCCCCCUAUUCACCUUGUGAGGGGAAUUUUCCUUCUACUCAAUCUGACCGAGGUCCUCCAGGUCAAGGACAGCGAGGCUCUCAGUCCCACUUCCCCUUGGCACAUAGAAGAGGCAGUGCGCUGAAGGGACAGGUGAAAUGAUUAGACCCUGCCCCCAAACCAAGGCCUGGCCAAUUGGACAGGGCAUGAGACAUUCAGCGUAGAGGUUAAAACGAGGGCCCUGGGUUAGGAACCCCAGCUCAGUUCUCAGCUCUGUACCCUUGGAAAAUUCCCUUCCCAUGGAGCUUUGUGGAUGCACAAGGACUUGCACAAAGAAAACAUUCAAUAUCCAGGACUAUAAAAUUCCACAAAUGAUUGUGCUUAUUACAUUCAUUAUCACGAUGAUUAUUCCAGACACAAAGGAACAGAACGAGGCACCAACAGCAAGGGGCAAGCAGAUUCAAGGGCCACAGAGGAGAUGGAGGCAAACACCUUCCCCUGGUCAGAGGCUGUGCCUCAGCCCUUCUCCCUGCAUCAGUUUCUCCUUCAGAAGCAUGGGACUACCUCCCAUCUAGUUCUCGUUUCUAAACCUAGGGGAGAUGCUAUCUUUGCUGCAAUAAUCUUAGCCUACAUCUUGGAAUGGAAAUGGCCUUGGUGGAAAUGGUCUUCAACUCCUCUGGUCCAAGCUCAGGCCCUGUGACCCUGGAACAAUCCCCUUCCUGGUCCUCCAUGUAGGAGCAAUAACAUUCCCUUGCCAGCAGCACCAGCCAUUCUGAUGAUUAAAUGGUAUCGGACUCUGUUUUCCAAACUCAGUCAUUCAGAUGCCCCCUAUUUUAUUUCUUCCAUGUCUGCAAAUGAUUAUAAUAUUUUUAAAUGUAGGAUGAGUCCUUUUUAUUACACAUAGAAAUAGCUACUGUAAAUAGCAAACUCUAACACUGUGCCUAAUUAGGAAAUAAAGGUAACCAUAAAUACAGUAAAAAUGAAACAAUGUUAUUAUGGUUUAACCUGAUAGUGUGGCUUGCAAGGCCCUGGGCCUGAAGCCUGGGCAAUAAGUGAGAGUUAGAAAGGUGUCAAAGACAUGAUAGCAGCAAACUGAGGCUUUGUACCCCACGGUAAAUAGGACUGAAAGCAAAUUCACAGGGAGCAACUGAUCCAUUCCACAACAGAAUGCUCCCUGUCAAUUCGCUUUCCAUUCUGUUGUGUCCUGUCUCCCAGCAGAGACUACAAACUCCCCAAAACCACUUACCCACCAGCUGCACGUGAGAAGCCAAAGGUAGUUUAUGUGAAAGGGCUUUGGAAAUAAUCACGCACCAAGUGAAGGCAGAGGACACACCUUGUCAGCUUAGUUCUCAGCAGCAAAUCAUCUCUUUUCCAGGAUAACCCUCCCUGAUUCUUAUUGAAAUCUCUUUGCUGACCACACUAAGCUCUUCUCUCUCAGGGGCAGUGGGAGCCGUGGAGAGUGGAAUAGACCAGCUGUCUGUGACCUGCGAGGGAGUCCAAUGUCGGAAUCACUCCCCAGCCAAAUGCACGGUUUUAAAAAAUCUAUUUAUUUAUUUAUGUAGAGACCAGGCUAUGAGACUGGCUAAUUUUUCGUAUUUUUGGAUAGAGACAGGAUUUCAUCGUGUUGCCCAGGCUGGUCUUGAACUCCUGGGCUCAAGCGAUCCACCUGCCUCGGCUUCCCAAAGUGCUCAGGAUUACAGGCGUGAGCCACUGUGCCCAGCCACCAAAUGCAGUUGAAAAGAGUUUCUGCAAGAUAAUUCCACAGAAGAGGAAAGCAGUUAUCUGGCUGGGAAUACCUUAGACAGAGGCUGUCCUCUACACAGGCUGUCAGAACUGACCUACUGACCUGCCUGCUGGCAUGAUAGACCAGAGGGAAACACUCUUUCCACUCUUCCCAGACUGAGUGUAAGAGACAGACUUUUUUUUUUUUUUUUGAGACGGAGUCUCACUCUGUCACCCAGGCUGGAGUGCAAUGGCAAGAUCUCGGCUCACUGCAACCUCCACCUCCCCGGGUUCAAACCAUUCUCCUGCCUCAGCCUCCCAGGUAGCUGGGAUUACAGGCUCCCGCCACCACGCCUGGCUAAUUUUUGUAUUUUUAGUAGAGACAGGGUUUCACCAUGUUGGCCGGGCUGGUCUCGAACUCCCAACCUCAGGUGAUCCGCCUACCUUGGCCUCCCAAAGGGUUGGGAUUACAGGUGUAAGCCACUGCUCCCAGCCUUUUUUUUUUUUUUUAUUAGAGACAAGGGCUCCCCAUGUUGCCCAGGCUGAUCUUGAACUCUAGGCUCAAGCGAUCCUCCUGCCUGAGCCUCCCAAAGUGCUAGGAUUACAGGCAUGAGCACUGCUCCCAGCUCUGUUUUUGUUUUUUUAAGGAGGUAUAUUUUUUCUGUUCUCUCUCAGCCCUGAAGAAAGGCUACCCAUCCCCUUCAGACAUUCCUGAAAAUAUAUGUCAUCCAACAUCAAGGCCACCACAGUGACCACUAAGCAAUGCAAGAAGGUCCUCUGGGGUGCCCUGAGAUCUUGGCAGGGCAGGAAGAGUGAGAAGGGGCUUUGCCUGCUCACCUGAAAGUUCCCACCCAAGCCGGGCCCAGAAAACAAAAUGAAUUAUCUACAUGGUCAUCCAAUCAGCCACCAAAUGGCAUUACCUAGGUCCAUCAUCAUGUACCAAGCCACAGGUCAGACCCAGGGCCCCCCAAAUUAACAAGACACAGGCACUGUCCUCAGGAAGUGGAGAUCUAGCCAGGUCAGACCCACACACAAAUAACACUGAUACUAGAGAUAAUGAGAUUGGGAAUUAUGAUUCAGCCAUUCAACCUGGGCUUAUGUGGCAUCUACACCACCUGGCCCUGAUUUCAGUAGUGAGCACAGUUGACAGGGUCCCUUCCCUUCACAGGUGAGCCAUGUAGUCCACAAGUGGAGGUGGUCGUAAGUGAAAACCACAUUACCAGCAUGGUAAAGGGUUAGAAAGAGGGCACCGGGUGGGCGAGAACAUGAAGCAGGGGGUGCUGAUGGCUAAAGAAGUAAAGGAGGGGCUGGGCACUGUGGUUCAUGCCUAUAAUCCCAGCACUUUGGGAGACCAAGGCGGGUGGAUCACCUGAGGUCAGGAGUUCUAGACCAGCCUGGGCAACGUGGUGAAACCCUGUCUCUACUAAAAAUACAAAAAUUAGCCAGGCAUGGUGGUGCACGCCUGUAGUCCCAGCUACUUGGGAGGCUGGGGCAUGAGAAUUGCUUUAACCCGGAAGGUGGAGUUUGCAGUGAGCCGAGAUCGUGUCACUGCACUCCAGCCUGGGCGACAGAGGGAGACUCUGUCUCAAAAAAAAAAAAAAGUCAAGGAGGGUUUCCCAGAGUGGCCACUUGAUUAGAGACCUAGCACAGGAGGAAGAGAUGGGCAGGGAGAGUGACGGGGAGCAGCACAGUCCCUGGGAGCCCGAAGUGGGUGGGCACAGGGCUCCCUAGGAGAAUGGAAGGACAUCUAUGAGCUGUAGCCCAAGAGGAAGAGGUCACUGGGGCUAGAUGCGGCAGACCCUCGCAGGCUUUGGGAAGGGCUUCAGAAUUCAGCCUGAGGGCAAUGGGGAGCCCUUUUGGGAUAUUAAACUUGAGUAAGAUAUGAGCAUAUUUGCAUCUUGAAAAAUCAUUAUGGGAAGAUGGCUGGGAAGAGAGGAGGAGUGGCAGAAGAAAGAUAGGUUGGAGACAAUUGAUUGCUCGAUGAUAUAAAAUGUUAAGUACCAUGAAUGAUGCUGUUAGGCUGGAAUGCGCCAAGCAUAAAGGUGGGGCAUGGCAUCAAAAGGUAGGUCAACAUAUUAAAUAAUUCCAUGUAUUGAAAUAUCCAGAAAAUAUAUAGACAGAUCUAUAGAGAUAGAAACUGGUCUGCCCAGGACUAGGGGUUGUCUAAGGAUAAGGAGCUUCUUUUUUGGAUGGUGAAAUAACCUAAAAUAUAUUGUGCCAUUGUUUGCACAACUUUGUGAAUAUAUUAAAAACCUGUUAAUUGUACUCAC